Molecule: non-coding RNA, 672 nt
Organism: Pogona vitticeps (central bearded dragon)
Lineage: Eukaryota; Metazoa; Chordata; Lepidosauria; Squamata; Agamidae
Source: RefSeq, a predicted model, not a curated record
UUAGAGGCAUUAGUUUGAAAUUUCGCCACCUUAGCGGACUACAUUUCCCAUGAAGCACCAAAAUAAAGCUUCUUCCAGGGUUUAUCUCCGCCUUCAACACAAAAGCAUUAGGUAAUGCCGGUGCCAUUGUAGUUAUUGUCAGUUCCUAAGCUGUUCCAAGAGUCCGUCGUUUUUUUGAGGCAACAGCGAUAUAAGACGGUAACUUCCUCCGGAAUGUGUUUUGAACGGCCGUUUCAAUAAUACCCCCGCGUCUUUAAGCUCAAGACUACAUUUCCCAUAGCUCUUGCGCCUAAGCGCCGGCCUUGUCCCGCGGGGCCUCCUGGGUGUCGUAGUUUUUGCUUGCCCUUCGAGCUUAAGGAGUGCGCAUUCGUGGGACUACAUUUCCCACAGGCCUUUGCUUUCUUUCGCCUUCUCUCUCCCCCCUCACCCCAAAGCUGCUUGGCCUCAGUUCCCUCUUUCCAGGGAGAAUGUGGCGGCGGCUUUCGUCAGGCGUGGAAACCGCUGCGGCAUUUGGACUUGGCGAUGGAAACAGAGCUAUGUGUUCUUGUAAUACAAGGAAACUGGCAUAAGAUAACGAAGUUUACUUGAGGGAAUGCAUCAAGGCCCUACCCCAGUGGACUGUGCCCAGACCUGGAGAAAGCAGGACUAUCACUGUAACUUGUCAUCUUAGAA